This 1347-nucleotide ribosomal RNA is filed under the name metagenome. RNAcentral's name for it is "SSU rRNA". It matches the Rfam family "Eukaryotic small subunit ribosomal RNA", at positions 1 to 1382 of the family's 1831-position model. The record is from RNAcentral.
UCUGGUUGAUCCUGCCAGUAGUCAUAUGCUUGUCUCAAAGAUUAAGCCAUGCAUGUCUAAGUAUAAAUAGUAUACAGUGAAACUGCGAAUGGCUCAUUAAAACAGUUAUAGUUUAUUUGAUAAUUGACAAUUACAUGGAUAACCGUGGUAAUUCUAGAGCUAAUACAUGCUUAAACGCCCGACUUUAUGGAAGGGUGGUAUUUAUUAGACUGAAGCCAAUAUUCCUUGUGUCUAUUGCGGUGAUUCAUAAUAACUGAUCGAGUCUCUUUUUGAGAUAAAUCAUUCAAGUUUCUGCCCUAUCAGCUUUCGAUGGUAGUGUAUUGGACUACCAUGGCAGUAACGGGUAACGAAGAAUUAGGGUUCGAUUUCGGAGAGGGAGCAUGAGAAACGGCUACCACAUCUAAGGAAGGCAGCAGGCGCGUAAAUUACCCAAUCCUGACUCAGGGAGGUAGUGACAAGAAAUAGCAAACCGGGAACCUCAUGGUUUCACGGUAUUGCAAUGAGAACAAUUUAAAACCCUUAGCGAGAAUCAAGUGGAGGACAAGUCUGGUGCCAGCACCCGCGGUAAUUCCAGCUCCACUAGCGUAUAUUAAAGUUGUUGCAGUUAAAAAGCUCGUAGUUGAACCUCUGUCUGGGGCUAGUUUUGGCUUUGGUCAGGCUAGUUCUAGGCAUCCGCCUACAAGACUUAGAGGGCAUUCAGUUGUUCACUAGGAGGAGUAGGCAUUUUACUUUGAAAAAAUUAGAGUGUUUAAGGCAGGCAAUCGCCCGCAUAUAUUAGCAUGGAAUAAUAGAAUAGGACACUUUUCCAUUUCGUUGGUUAUUGGAAUCGUGUAAUGAUUAAUAGGGACAGUUGUGGGCAUUUGUAUUUAAUUGUCAGAGGUGAAAUUCUUGGAUUUAUUAAAGACAAACUAACGCGAAAGCAUUUGCCAAGGAUGUUUUCAUUAAUCAAGAACGAAAGUUAGGGGAUCAAAGACGAUCAGAUACCGUCCUAGUCUUAACUAUAAACUAUUCCGACUCAAUGUUUGACUGGCUUAUAUAACCAGUUGAGCGUUGUAUGAGAAAUCAAAGUCUUUAGGUUCUGGGGGGAGCAUGGUUGCAAAGCUGAAACUUAAAGGAAUUGACGGAAGAGCACAACCAGGAGUGGAUUCUGCGGCUUAAUUUGACUCAACACGGGGAAACUUACCAGGUUAAAACAAUAGUGGGAUUGACAGUUUGAGAGCGCUUUCUUGAUUGGUUGGGUGGUGGUGCAUGGCCGUUCUUAGUUGGUGGAGUGAUUUGUCUGCUUAAUUGCGUUAACGAACGAGACCUUAACCUGCUUACUAGACUGGCGAUCAUCAAUCGUUGGCU